This 665-nucleotide long non-coding RNA is filed under the name Homo sapiens (human). RNAcentral's name for it is "HSALNT0022042". Lineage: Eukaryota; Metazoa; Chordata; Mammalia; Primates; Hominidae. The record is from RNAcentral.
CCGCGCGGCAACGCAGGGGCGGAACCGCACUGAGAAAUUUACAGUCUAGUAAGGCAGAGAGGGAAGUAAAGUAUUCUAAUACUGUACAGGUAUUAUUGAAGAACAAUGUCGAAGGUAUAGCGUAAGCAGCAAGGAGAGAAGUAAAUCUUUCUGGGAGUUGGGAACUGCUUUGUUGAAGUGGCAACUGAGUCUUAAAGAAUAAUUGAGAAUGUGACUGGUAAACAAGGACAGAAACAUGUUCAUGAAAGAAAGCAAGGGACACAUUAAAUCCUUCCAGGAAAUAGUUUGGUGUACAUCCCAAAUCCUAGUAUCAUUGAAUUAUAUACAGGGAGUGAAUGAUGUGAUCAAAUGGGCAUUUUAGAAAGAUUAUGCUGACAACUCUGGAGGGCUGACUAGUCAGUGUGAAGGUCAGAAAAACAGCAAGAAAGCAAAUGCAAUAGAUCUAGUAGAAUGAUGAAGUGCUAAACUGACACACUAUUUUAAGACUUCAGGAAUACCAGGAUGAGUAAAACUACAUUUAAAAUUUUAAUCAUCUGUGGGGUUUAGCUAUGAAAAUUUUUUGUUUUCUAAGCUUUCUGCAAUGGAUAUGCACUGCUUUCUUAAUAGAAAAAAUAGUAAACUUUGUUAAGAGAGAGAGAACUCAGCAAAAGGCUCAUUACAGGGGA